RNAcentral lists this ribosomal RNA (253 nucleotides) under uncultured bacterium. Its description in RNAcentral is "partial 16S ribosomal RNA". It matches the Rfam family "Bacterial small subunit ribosomal RNA", at positions 524 to 776 of the family's 1533-position model. The record is from RNAcentral.
UACGAAGGGGGCUAGCGUUGCUCGGAAUCACAGGGCGUAAAGCGCACGUAGGCGGACUCUUAAGUCGGAGGUGAAAUCCCAGAGCUCAACUCUGGAACUGCCUUUGAUACUGGGUAUCUUGAGUAUGGAAGAGGUGAGUGGAAUUCCGAGUGUAGAGGUGAAAUUCGUAGAUAUUCGGAGGAACACCAGUGGCGAAGGCGGCUCACUGGUCCAUUACUGACGCUGAGGUGCGAAAGCGUGGGGAGCAAACAGG